This is a long non-coding RNA of Papaver somniferum (opium poppy), 759 nucleotides long. RefSeq lists it as uncharacterized. The record is from RefSeq and is a predicted model, not a curated record. NCBI's taxonomy places the organism in Eukaryota, Viridiplantae, Streptophyta, Magnoliopsida, Ranunculales, Papaveraceae. The transcript is spliced from 2 exons.
UCUAGUCCUGUCUUCUCAAGCCUAGUACUAGGAGGUCCAGAUUCACCAAAUCCCGAACGAGUUGAUCCUUUUAUCAACGAUUUAGUCCAAAACGCUUCUUUUGUAUGACAAUAACACCCAUCAUGCGAGAUAUGAUUUUUUGUUCGUUCAAUUUCCAUUCUUCUUUUUAAUUUCAUCGAAUCGGGGAGUGAAGAGAAAACCGAGAAAUCUAAUCUCGUCGUGUCAAUGGAAGUUCAAUCUCCAAACCUAAAUAUGGUAAUCAAACAUACACUCCGUUCAUCUACAAAAAUUGAAAUCGUCAUCAUCAAUUCAUCUUCUUGAGGAUUAACUCAAAAUUGGGAGGAAAAAAUGAUGAGAUUUAGUUUAAGGCGAUUUAAAAGAAACCUGAAGCGAUUGUUAUCAAUGGGGAUAUGAGAGUUUCAGUUGUAUAAUAGCAUGACAAGGAAAAAAGUAAUCUUUAUACAUAAAGAAACAAGAAAAGUUGGGAUGUUUGUGGGCAGUUUUUUGACUAGAAACCUCGUUCAGCUCAUCUCCCUCGGUAAUAUGGUUUGUAUAGACCAUUUGAUAUAACCUUUGUCCUGUUUAGGUUAUGUUAAAUGUGAUGUUUCCUUUGAUUGAUUUGAUAGUGGAAACAUAAGACUUAGGUACUCCUAUUGUCAUGUAGGUGAACAUAUUAUCAAACAAGGGUUACUAUGAAGGAUUUUUCUUGUCGUUCUCCACAUGUAAGAAAUUUCAUUUGUAUUCUAUUGUGAAAUCUAA